RNAcentral lists this ribosomal RNA (429 nucleotides) under uncultured bacterium. RNAcentral describes it as "bacterial SSU rRNA". It matches the Rfam family "Bacterial small subunit ribosomal RNA", at positions 355 to 776 of the family's 1533-position model. The record is from RNAcentral.
UGGGGAAUAUUGGACAAUGGGGGCAACCCUGAUCCAGCCAUGCCGCGUGUGUGAAGAAGGCCUUCGGGUUGUAAAGCACUUUCAGUAGUGAAAAAGGGGUUCAGGUUAAUAGCCUGAGUCAUUGAUAUUAGCUACAGAAGCAGCACCGGCUAACUCCGUGCCAGCAGCCGCGGUAAUACGGAGGGUGCAAGCGUUAAUCGGAAUUACUGGGCGUAAAGCGCGCGUAGGCGGUUUGGUCAGUUGGAUGUGAAAGCCCAGGGCUCAACCUUGGAACUGCAUUCAAUACUGCCAGGCUAGAGUACGGUAGAGGGAGGUAGAAUUCCACGUGUAGCGGUGAAAUGCGUAGAGAUGUGGAGGAAUACCAGUGGCGAAGGCGGCCUCCUGGAUCGAUACUGACGCUAAGGUGCGAAAGCGUGGGGAGCAAACAGG